This 253-nucleotide ribosomal RNA is filed under the name uncultured bacterium. Its description in RNAcentral is "partial 16S ribosomal RNA". It matches the Rfam family "Bacterial small subunit ribosomal RNA", at positions 524 to 776 of the family's 1533-position model. The record is from RNAcentral.
UACAGAGGGUGCAAGCGUUGUCCGGAAUCACUGGGCGUAAAGGGCGCGUAGGCGGCCUGAUAAGUAGGGGGUGAAAUCCUGGGGCUUAACCUCAGGGCUGCCUUCUAGACUGUCCGGCUCGAGCACAGUAGAGGCAGGUGGAAUUCCCGGUGUAGCGGUGGAAUGCGUAGAGAUCGGGAAGAACAUCGGUGGCGAAGGCGGCCUGCUGGGCUGUUGCUGACGCUGAGGCGCGAAAGCUAGGGGAGCAAACGGG